RNAcentral lists this ribosomal RNA (460 nucleotides) under uncultured bacterium. Its description in RNAcentral is "partial 16S ribosomal RNA". It matches the Rfam family "Bacterial small subunit ribosomal RNA", at positions 338 to 795 of the family's 1533-position model. The record is from RNAcentral.
CCUACGGGUGGCAGCAGUGAGGAAUAUUGGUCAAUGGACGAAAGUCUGAACCAGCCAAGUAGCGUGAAGGAUGACUGCCCUAUGGGUUGUAAACUGCUUUUAUAAAGGGAUAAAACGAGACACGUGUGCCUUUUUGCAUGUACUUUAUGAAUAAGGAUCGGCUAACUCCGUGCCAGCAGCCGCGGUAAUACUGAGGAUCCGAGCGUUAUCCGGAUUUAUUGGGUUUAAAGGGAGCGUAGAUGGUUUGUUAAGUCAGUUGUGAAAGUUUGCGGCUCAACCGUAAAAUUGCCAGUGAUACUGACAGUCUUGAGUGCAGUUGAGGUAGGCGGAAUUCGUGGUGUAGCGGUGAAAUGCUUAGAUAUCACGAAGAACCCCGAUUGCGAAGGCAGCUUACUAAACUGUGACUGACAUUGAUGCUCGAAAGUGUGGGGAGCAAACAGGAUUAGAUACCCGAGUAGUC